Molecule: transfer RNA, 78 nt
Filed under: Saprospiraceae bacterium
Lineage: Bacteria; Pseudomonadati; Bacteroidota; Saprospiria; Saprospirales; Saprospiraceae
Description: tRNA-Pro
Rfam family: tRNA
About the family: Transfer RNA (tRNA) molecules are approximately 80 nucleotides in length. Their secondary structure includes four short double-helical elements and three loops (D, anti-codon, and T loops). Further hydrogen bonds mediate the characteristic L-shaped molecular structure. tRNAs have two regions of fundamental functional importance: the anti-codon, which is responsible for specific mRNA codon recognition, and the 3' end, to which the tRNAs corresponding amino acid is attached (by aminoacyl-tRNA synthetases). tRNAs cope with the degeneracy of the genetic code in two manners: having more than one tRNA (with a specific anti-codon) for a particular amino acid; and 'wobble' base-pairing, i.e. permitting non-standard base-pairing at the 3rd anti-codon position.
Source: RNAcentral
CGGGAUGUAGCUCAGUUCGGUUAGAGUACUGGUCUGGGGGACCAGGGGUCGCAAGUUCAAAUCUUGUCAUCCCGACUA